AUGACUCGACUAUGAAGAUGUCUCAGCAUUCUUCACAGCAUCCUUAUAUGUCGGGUGAAAAGAUGCCACUGGAUAAGUAGCCUCCACUAGUAAAUCAGUCACAGUAAAAGUGACAUCCAGGAAACGCAAAUGGAGUGAGGAAGAAAUCCAGGCAGUGGGAAAGACCCUUCUGGGAUGCAUCACAUCUGGAAAGGUUCCAAGAAGAAAAACUGUGCAUGGAAUGCAUCAAGGCAUCACCAUCACCAAGUCCUUUGUCCAAGUGCUCCUGGUCGGAUUGAUGCAUCACCAGGUGAUGCACCACCUGGUGUUGAUCACUUGGUGAUGGUGACGCAUCACUAGGUGAUGCCUUGAUGCAUCACCAGGAGCACUUGGAGAAAGGAUUUGGGAAGGAAUUAAAUUUUAUGUUAAAAAUCGAAUUGACUUUCUUAAGAGGAAACAAAAAUGAGUCAGACAAGGUAGGAAGAGUCUUGACUAUCUUGUAUUCCUGAAACAGUUCUUGAGUUCAAAAACAAGAACAGGAAUAAAUUGUUAGUUGAUGUUGUUUUUGAGUAUAUGCUGUUGAAUAAUGUGCAGUGCUAUAGCAUUGUUUAAAAUAAUUGCAUAAUCAGCUUUCCACAAGAAAUAAAAGUGUUUACAGUUUGGUACACAAA
Scatophagus argus is the source of this 650-nucleotide long non-coding RNA. RefSeq lists it as uncharacterized. The record is from RefSeq and is a predicted model, not a curated record. NCBI's taxonomy places the organism in Eukaryota, Metazoa, Chordata, Actinopteri, Scatophagidae. The transcript has 3 exons.